AAAUUGAAGAGUUUGAUCAUGGCUCAGAUUGAACGCUGGCGGCAGGCCUAACACAUGCAAGUCGAACGGUAACAGGAAGAAGCUUGCUUCUUUGCUGACGAGUGGCGGACGGGUGAGUAAUGUCUGGGAAACUGCCUGAUGGAGGGGGAUAACUACUGGAAACGGUAGCUAAUACCGCAUAACGUCGCAAGACCAAAGAGGGGGACCUUCGGGCCUCUUGCCAUCGGAUGUGCCCAGAUGGGAUUAGCUAGUAGGUGGGGUAACGGCUCACCUAGGCGACGAUCCCUAGCUGGUCUGAGAGGAUGACCAGCCACACUGGAACUGAGACACGGUCCAGACUCCUACGG
Molecule: ribosomal RNA, 347 nt
Filed under: Escherichia coli
Lineage: Bacteria; Pseudomonadati; Pseudomonadota; Gammaproteobacteria; Enterobacterales; Enterobacteriaceae
Description: bacterial SSU rRNA
Rfam family: Bacterial small subunit ribosomal RNA
Source: RNAcentral